This 328-nucleotide ribosomal RNA is filed under the name uncultured bacterium. RNAcentral's name for it is "bacterial SSU rRNA". It matches the Rfam family "Bacterial small subunit ribosomal RNA", at positions 568 to 898 of the family's 1533-position model. The record is from RNAcentral.
UACGCAGGCGGCUUGGUAAGACAGAUGUGAAAUCCCCGGGCUUAACCUGGGAACUGCAUUUGUGACUGCCAGGCCCGAGUCUGUCAGAGGGGGGUGGAAUUCCACGUGUAGCAGUGAAAUGCGUAGAGAUGUGGAGGAACACCGAUGGCGAAGGCAGCCCCCUGGGAUGAGACUGACGCUCAUGUACGAAAGCGUGGGAGCAAACAGGAUUAGAUACCCUGGUAGUCCACGCCCUAAACGAUGUCGACUAGUUGUCGGGAAUUUAUUUUCUCGGUAACGCAGCUAACGCGUGAAGUCGACCGCCUGGGGAUACGGUCGCAAGAUUAAA